GGACUAAUAGCUCAGAUGGUAGAGCAUCACACUGAAGAUGUGAGUGUCCUAUGUUCAAAUCAUAGUUAGUCCA
This 73-nucleotide transfer RNA is filed under the name Caudoviricetes sp. Its description in RNAcentral is "tRNA-Phe". It matches the Rfam family "tRNA". Rfam says of the family: Transfer RNA (tRNA) molecules are approximately 80 nucleotides in length. Their secondary structure includes four short double-helical elements and three loops (D, anti-codon, and T loops). The record is from RNAcentral. Lineage: Duplodnaviria; Heunggongvirae; Uroviricota; Caudoviricetes.